ACAUGGCCUCCCGCAACCCAUAAAUGAGAGGUCUGACCUGCCCAGUGACAAUCUGUUCAACGGCCGCGGUAUUUUAACCGUGCUAAGGUAGCGUAAUCACUUGUCUUUUAAAUGAAGACCUGUAUGAAUGGCACCACGAGGGCCCUACUGUCUCCUCCUCCCAAUCAGUGAAAUUGAUCUGCUCGUGCAAAAGCGAGCAUAAAACCAUAAGACGAGAAGACCCUGUGGAGCUUAAGACACAGAAUUAAUCAUGCCUAGAAGCUAAUCCCCAAAAGGCAAAACCAGCAACACAAGCAUAAUGACCCUAAUUCGACAUGUCUUCGGUUGGGGCGACCAUGGAGGACAACAAAGCCUCCAAGAAGAAUCAGGAGAUCAGUCCCACUAAUCUCUAAGAGCCAAGAGCCACACCUCCAAGCAACAGAAACUUCUGACUAAUAAUGAUCCGGGCCAUGCCCGAUCAACGGACCAAGUUACCCCAGGGAUAACAGCGCAAUCCUUUCCCAGAGCCCAUAUCGCCGAAAGGGUUUACGACCUCGAUGUUGGAUCAGGACAUCCUGGUGGCGAAAAUUUUACCAAGGGUUCGUUUGUUCAACGAUUAAAGUCCUACGUGA
RNAcentral lists this ribosomal RNA (611 nucleotides) under Papyrocranus afer. RNAcentral's name for it is "partial 16S ribosomal RNA". It matches the Rfam family "Bacterial large subunit ribosomal RNA", at positions 1813 to 2603 of the family's 2925-position model. Lineage: Eukaryota; Metazoa; Chordata; Actinopteri; Osteoglossiformes; Notopteridae. The record is from RNAcentral.